This 1540-nucleotide ribosomal RNA is filed under the name Klebsiella pneumoniae. RNAcentral's name for it is "bacterial SSU rRNA". It matches the Rfam family "Bacterial small subunit ribosomal RNA". The record is from RNAcentral. Lineage: Bacteria; Pseudomonadati; Pseudomonadota; Gammaproteobacteria; Enterobacterales; Enterobacteriaceae.
AAAUUGAAGAGUUUGAUCAUGGCUCAGAUUGAACGCUGGCGGCAGGCCUAACACAUGCAAGUCGAGCGGUAGCACAGAGAGCUUGCUCUCGGGUGACGAGCGGCGGACGGGUGAGUAAUGUCUGGGAAACUGCCUGAUGGAGGGGGAUAACUACUGGAAACGGUAGCUAAUACCGCAUAAUGUCGCAAGACCAAAGUGGGGGACCUUCGGGCCUCAUGCCAUCAGAUGUGCCCAGAUGGGAUUAGCUAGUAGGUGGGGUAAUGGCUCACCUAGGCGACGAUCCCUAGCUGGUCUGAGAGGAUGACCAGCCACACUGGAACUGAGACACGGUCCAGACUCCUACGGGAGGCAGCAGUGGGGAAUAUUGCACAAUGGGCGCAAGCCUGAUGCAGCCAUGCCGCGUGUGUGAAGAAGGCCUUCGGGUUGUAAAGCACUUUCAGCGGGGAGGAAGGCGUUAAGGUUAAUAACCUUGGCGAUUGACGUUACCCGCAGAAGAAGCACCGGCUAACUCCGUGCCAGCAGCCGCGGUAAUACGGAGGGUGCAAGCGUUAAUCGGAAUUACUGGGCGUAAAGCGCACGCAGGCGGUCUGUCAAGUCGGAUGUGAAAUCCCCGGGCUUAACCUGGGAACUGCAUUCGAAACUGGCAGGCUAGAGUCUUGUAGAGGGGGGUAGAAUUCCAGGUGUAGCGGUGAAAUGCGUAGAGAUCUGGAGGAAUACCGGUGGCGAAGGCGGCCCCCUGGACAAAGACUGACGCUCAGGUGCGAAAGCGUGGGGAGCAAACAGGAUUAGAUACCCUGGUAGUCCACGCCGUAAACGAUGUCGAUUUGGAGGUUGUGCCCUUGAGGCGUGGCUUCCGGAGCUAACGCGUUAAAUCGACCGCCUGGGGAGUACGGCCGCAAGGUUAAAACUCAAAUGAAUUGACGGGGGCCCGCACAAGCGGUGGAGCAUGUGGUUUAAUUCGAUGCAACGCGAAGAACCUUACCUGGUCUUGACAUCCACAGAACUUUCCAGAGAUGGAUUGGUGCCUUCGGGAACUGUGAGACAGGUGCUGCAUGGCUGUCGUCAGCUCGUGUUGUGAAAUGUUGGGUUAAGUCCCGCAACGAGCGCAACCCUUAUCCUUUGUUGCCAGCGGUCCGGCCGGGAACUCAAAGGAGACUGCCAGUGAUAAACUGGAGGAAGGUGGGGAUGACGUCAAGUCAUCAUGGCCCUUACGACCAGGGCUACACACGUGCUACAAUGGCAUAUACAAAGAGAAGCGACCUCGCGAGAGCAAGCGGACCUCAUAAAGUAUGUCGUAGUCCGGAUUGGAGUCUGCAACUCGACUCCAUGAAGUCGGAAUCGCUAGUAAUCGUAGAUCAGAAUGCUACGGUGAAUACGUUCCCGGGCCUUGUACACACCGCCCGUCACACCAUGGGAGUGGGUUGCAAAAGAAGUAGGUAGCUUAACCUUCGGGAGGGCGCUUACCACUUUGUGAUUCAUGACUGGGGUGAAGUCGUAACAAGGUAACCGUAGGGGAACCUGCGGUUGGAUCACCUCCUUA